CCCAACUUCGGUUAUAAGAUCCCUCAAAGAUGAUGAGGUUAAUAGGUUCGAGGUGGAAGCGUGGUGACACGUGGAGCUGACGAAUACUAAUCGAUUGAAGACUUAAUCAA
Molecule: ribosomal RNA, 110 nt
Filed under: Staphylococcus haemolyticus
Lineage: Bacteria; Bacillati; Bacillota; Bacilli; Caryophanales; Staphylococcaceae
Also listed under: 1 other name
Description: partial 23S ribosomal RNA
Rfam family: Bacterial large subunit ribosomal RNA
Source: RNAcentral